CCCUUAGAUGUCCGGGGCCGCACGCGCGCUACGCUGAAGGAAUCAGCGUGGCUUUCUCCCUGACCCGAAAGGGUUGGGAAACCCGUUGAAUCUCCUUCGUGGUAGGGAUUGGGGCUUGAAAUUGUUCCCCAUGAACGAGGAAUUCCCAGUAAGCGCGAGCCAUAAGCUCGCGUUGAUUACGUCCCUACCCUUUGUACACACCGCCCGUCGCUACUACCGAUUGAACGGUUUAGUGAGGGCCUCGGAUUGGUCUCGGCCCGCUCUUUACCGGGCGGCGCCGUUGGUCGAGAAGACGCUCGAACUUGAUCGUUUAGAGGAAGUAAAAGUCGUAACA
This 334-nucleotide ribosomal RNA is filed under the name uncultured eukaryote. RNAcentral's name for it is "partial 18S ribosomal RNA". It matches the Rfam family "Eukaryotic small subunit ribosomal RNA", at positions 1470 to 1796 of the family's 1831-position model. The record is from RNAcentral.